UGGCAAGAUGUUGGCAUAGCCGAAAACUUUACACGGCUAUUCCACACCGUGCCAGU
This 56-nucleotide microRNA precursor is filed under the name Eptatretus burgeri (inshore hagfish). Its description in RNAcentral is "Ebu-Mir-31_pre stem-loop". Lineage: Eukaryota; Metazoa; Chordata; Myxini; Myxiniformes; Myxinidae. The record is from RNAcentral.